This 528-nucleotide ribosomal RNA is filed under the name Triticum aestivum (bread wheat). RNAcentral describes it as "partial small subunit ribosomal RNA". Lineage: Eukaryota; Viridiplantae; Streptophyta; Magnoliopsida; Poales; Poaceae. The record is from RNAcentral.
AUGGCGGAUCAGCUCACCGACGACCAGAUCGCCGAGUUCAAGGAGGCCUUCAGCCUCUUCGACAAGGACGGAGAUGGUGAGCGCGCCCCUCCUCCCUUCCCCCCUCCCGUCCCUCGGAUCUCUCCGUCGCGCGACGCUCGCCGCCGCACGCGCGGUUGCAUCACCACCAAGGAGCUGGGAACAGUUAUGCGUUCGCUGGGGCAGAACCCAACGGAGGCUGAGCUCCAGGACAUGAUCAAUGAAGUCGAUGCUGAUGGCAACGGCACCAUUGACUUCCCAGAGUUCCUCAACCUGAUGGCCCGCAAGAUGAAGGACACUGACUCAGAGGAGGAGCUCAAGGAGGCCUUCAGGGUGUUCGACAAGGACCAAAACGGUUUCAUCUCUGCUGCUGAGCUCCGCCAUGUCAUGACGAACCUCGGUGAGAAGCUCACCGACGAGGAGGUGGACGAGAUGAUCCGUGAAGCCGACGUCGACGGUGAUGGCCAGAUCAACUACGAGGAGUUCGUCAAGGUCAUGAUGGCCAAAUGA